This is an RNA transcript of Peromyscus californicus insignis, 3177 nucleotides long. It is a transcript of the gene named CCDC163 homolog, with no coding region annotated. The transcript is spliced from 11 exons. NCBI's taxonomy places the organism in Eukaryota, Metazoa, Chordata, Mammalia, Rodentia, Cricetidae. The record is from RefSeq and is a predicted model, not a curated record.
AGUCAGAGACGCAGUCCUCAGUCCUUCAGGAUGAAUAGGAGCCCUAGCUGGUCUGAUCAACUGCAUGCAGUUCUCAAUUCAACUGAUGAAAAUAUGGCCCGGAUUAAGCAGAAUUUGUAUCCUCUUCGAGUUUCCUCUACAGGGGACCUGGCUGACACCUGGAUUUCCCCUCAUCAUUUGCCUCCACAGCCAGGGGCCCAAGCUCAUCAGCCUUGGGCUCUAAAGACUCCUGUUCUUGGAGAGAGACUGAGCUGCGCUGAAUCUCACAGCUCAUCUCUCUGGAAUGAAGUUACUAAGCUCCGAUCCCAGCUUCAGUCUCAGGCUCAGGUGACUGCGGCGCUAAGGGGUGCUGUGCAGAGCCUGUUGAAGGAUCGGGAGCAGCAGAUGAAGAAGAUCAGUGCUCUAGAAGCAUCACUAAAAUUGCUUCAGGAGGGCCCAAAAGGGAGAGCCCUUCUGGAGCAACGCCUGGAAGGGUUGAGAAAGGAACUGCAGGGCCUUCGGAACCAGGUUCAAGAGCUAGUCCAAACCCAAACGAGAACAAGACCAGGGAAGUUCAGUAGUACCAAUGGCUUUCACCAAGAGCUGCAGACUGAGCACCAACUUUUGUGGGAAGAGUCAGAGAUUCUUCGGGAGGAACUGAAGUUGCUUCGAGACCAGCUGAGCCAACAUCAGGAGUUGUUGCUGGAACAGAUAGCUGAAGGGCGCCAGGUUCAAGCCCGCAGCUGGAAGACGUUGGAACACCUACAGAGUGACCAGAAGGGCAAGUUUCAGACCUUGGAGGUUACCAGGACAGAGGCCCCUGAUGCCCAGAAGGAGGAGCCCUACUUCCUCAGGACGUCUGUUGAUGCCUGGCAAUCUAAGCUGCCUAUGGCCAACAUCUUCGCCAUGUCUCUUUCUUCAUCUAGCUCUGAAGUCAGUCUUCCAGACUGUGACCAUAGCUGGGAACUUUUAAAGAAACUAGACAGGGAACUCCCUAACUCCUUUUCUAACCUGGAACCCAGCAGCUGUCAGUCCCAUGCCCAGAGUCUUGGGCAAGAGGAUCUGUUCUUUCAAGGCUCCAAGAUCUUCCAGAGUGAGCUGUAAGGACUUGUAAGAAGAAUGAGAUGAAUCCAUCAAGGCAGUCUUCUCAUCCCCUCUGGAUCCCCUAAAGAUGCCUUCACCCUCAGACAACAGGACGUAAAUUUAAGAACAAAAUGCCCACAUUCCCAAGAGGUGUGGUGGGUGGUUUUUGGUCGUUCAAUGGAUUAUGGAUAUUUGUCAUUGUUUAUGGUGGUUGAUUACAAGUUGUUAUUGGUAAUGGUCAGGAAAAAAGCUAAACAAAGAAGAUUAGAUUCAGGGUUCUUGUUUUGAAAAGAAAAAAAAAGGGGAUAUAGAUAUGAUAAGAUAAAAGGUAGAUUAUUGAAUCUACUCUGAAAAAAAUAGAUAUAGAAAUGAUAGGAUAGAUAAAAGGGUAGAUUGUUGAAUCUACCCUGAAGAGAAAAAAUAGGAAUAUAGAUGUAAGAUAAAAAGUUAGAUUAUUGAAUCUUCUUUAAAAAUGCAUCUACUAGUUUUAAAUAUUUUAUAUUGGAUUGGAUUGUUGUAUAGUAUAUACAGAUUUUAUAUAUUGAUACAAAUUUGAGAUUAAUUUUGUUAGAACAUACUGUACAUACACUUCUAAUCUUGUUCAAGGUAUUAUACCUCAUUUAACAAUGUAAUACAAAUUACUAGUUCUUGAAAGUUAUUAUUACCAACUAAUUAGGAUAUAAAGAAGUGCAAGUUAGUAGUUAGUCAUUACAAUUAAACUUGUAAUCAUAUUAGGUAUGUUUUCAAUGUCAAACAGUUAUUUUAGAUAGACAGGUUGUCUUCAAACACUUCAGAGAUCUACAGAAUAUGGCAUUUAAAAUGUUUUAAUAACAUAGAUUUUUUUUUUUUUUUUUGAGACAGGGUUUCUCUGUGUUGUUUUGGUGCUUGUCCUGGAGCUUGCUCUGUAGACCAGGCUGGCCUCGAACUCACAGAGAUCCUCAUGGCUCUGCCUCCUGAGUGCUGGGAUUAAAGGCAUGUGCCAUCACCGCCCGGCAGAUUCUUUUUUUUAUGACAAUGAGGCAUGUCUGCUCCUGGCAGCACCAAUCUACUUCAAAGAAGUUGAUGGACAUCAAAGAAACUCCAUAUGGAGUUUACUUUCUUUGUGGCAAAAGUUAACCACUGGAGAAGAAAAUGCCCUUGUCUUGACUGCUAAUAGUAUGCUGUCCAAAAUGGUCAAGGACACAAAAUAAAAGACUGCUGAACUUUGCCAAGACAAGGUAGGACAGCCUUUCAGAAAAUCCUGCUUCAUAGAUAAAUCUGUCAGAUAUGCUAGGCCUGUAAGUAGACAAUGGAUGCCCCAAUGCUGCAGAGGAACCAGCUGUUUCUGUUAUUUCUCACACUUUUUGGAAGUUGCUUGCUUGCACUACCUGCUUACUCAGGUAAUAUUUCCUUCUUGGGUCUCUGAUGGAGUUGAAGACUAGAUAGUUAUAAUUUUUCCUUUUUAACAAAUUCAGAAAAGAAACUCACUAAAAAGAUGUAAAGUGUGUAAGUUCAAGAGACAUCAAAAGAUAGUUUUCAGUUGUUAAUACAAGUUAGAUAGAAAGUGAAUUAGGUACAAUCUUUUGGACUCACCAAGAUAGGAUAAAUAAUAGAAUAUUUUCUCUGAAUUUGUCAAAUGUUAGUGGACUGCAUAUUUUUAAUGUAAUUCUUGACUGUAUAUAUUAUGUAUAGUUAUUAUAUUUAUUGUAUAUAGUUUUUCUUUAAUAUUAGACAAAAAAGGGGAAAUGUGGUGAUAUUUUGUUUGUACUGUAACCAAUAAAGCUUGUCUGAUUAUCAGAGGGCAGAGCCAGCCACAGAGUUAGCCAUAGAGGUCAGGCAGUGGUGGCACACACCUUUAAUCCCAGCACUUGGGAUCUCAUGCCUUUGCUCCCAGUGUCUGGGAAGCACACACACCUUUAAUCCCAGCACUAGGAAGGCUGAGACAGGAAGUGACAUGGCUGGGUGGAGAAAGGCAUGUAAGGCAGGAGGAAACUGGAACUCAGCCCUGUCGGCUGAGGACUCGGGCAUUCAGUCUGAGGAUUCAUGGAGACAGGGUCUUCCCCUUUCUGCUGAGGAGUUGGCCAGGUGAGAAGUGGCUGUGGCUUGUUUCCUCUGAUCUUUCAGCAUUUACCCCGA